AUCUCUCCCUCACCGUGUUCCCCUAGGAAAAUCCACAAGAACUUCCUCGGAGGAGCCGAGAACUUCGCCCUUUUCUCUCGAACCGAAGAUGUUUGAUUCGUAGAAAUUUUUUUCUGAUCGAGCACCUUGUGCCAAGCUCGACGUCGCUCUCGGUGUCCAGAGCGCCCGCUGACCGAGCCCUCGCGCCACGAGCGUCGCCAAGGUACUAGUAGGCUACCCACCAAGGGAAUCAAGCUGGGGAGCUCCCAAUCGCGAGAUCGAACCUUUCUUCCUCAAGUCCGGCCGCCGGCUAUCGUCGUCAAUUCAUCGUUCUCGGCCGGAAGACCGGAGGAAGCCGACGUCGUCGCACUGCUGUUUUCCGCCGCCGCCGGAGCGUUCCUCGGUUCUCCAUCGCUGUCCAAGCUUCGCCGGAGCACACACGACCUCAAAUUAUUGCAUUGACAGUGAAGGAGUGAAUUAAAAUGCUAUCUAAUUUCUCAAGAUUAAGGUUUUAGAGUUAGUCUUUGAGUGAUGCGGGUUUCGAUUGCUUCUUCUAGGAUGAGAACUUAAUGGAUGAACCCUUAGUCGAUGUGCUUGUGUUUGGUAGUCAAGCUUCCGUUGUUCCCUAAUAUGUCUACUUGGCCGGUCGGCCUAUGUAUCUAUUAAGUAGUUGUAACCUGAAUUUUAUUUGCUUUAGAUGUGUUUGCUAUGUAUGUCGAUGCUUAAGAUGAAAGUGUGAAUCUAGUGCACAUCCUCGGAAUUAAAUUCACAUGAGUAUGAGUUAAGAAUAUUUGAG
This 775-nucleotide small RNA is filed under the name Oryza sativa Japonica Group (Japanese rice). Its description in RNAcentral is "sRNA Os09g0280750". The record is from RNAcentral. Lineage: Eukaryota; Viridiplantae; Streptophyta; Magnoliopsida; Poales; Poaceae.